Molecule: long non-coding RNA, 268 nt
Filed under: Bos taurus (domestic cattle)
Lineage: Eukaryota; Metazoa; Chordata; Mammalia; Artiodactyla; Bovidae
Description: long non-coding RNA NONBTAT025549
Source: RNAcentral
GUUACACUGUAGGAGGCUAGUAAAGUAAGUGUUUGACACAGUACCUAUUCGGUUAAUGGCCUGUUAGUCACUGAAGAUGUGAGUGGUGGGUGACAGACAUCCAGUUGAGCUCAUGCUUCAGUCACAGGUUGGAGGAUGAUUGCUCAUAAAGUCUUCUAAGUCACCUAUCUUAGAAGGUGGGACGUGCUCAGUGAAGCCUGCUGCAGUUAGAUUAGGAUAGCCUCUCUCCUCCACCUUCUGUAUGCUCAUGAGUCUAAGGCGGGGGCAA